AAUCAAUAAAUGCAUGACAUGUG
Molecule: non-coding RNA, 23 nt
Filed under: Arabidopsis thaliana (thale cress)
Lineage: Eukaryota; Viridiplantae; Streptophyta; Magnoliopsida; Brassicales; Brassicaceae
Source: RNAcentral